GGAAGAGGUAUUACUCUGAUGCCUAAAGGGAAGAGGUACUCUGAUGCCUAAAGGGAAGAGGUAUUACUCUGAUGCCUAAAGGAAAGAGGUAUUACUCUGAUUCCUAAAAGGAAGAGGUAUUACUCUGAUGCCUAAAGGGAAGAGGUAUUACUCUGAUGCCUAAAGGGAAGAGGUAUUACUCUGAGGGAAAGCUUAACAGUCCCUCAUUAACCACCUUUUCUAAUCAAUCCUCUCUACUCUCCAGUUCCUCAUUUGUCACUCAAUUGUGGAUCAAUGGAGUGUUGUGGAGAGGGAGGCCUCUGAGGACUGAAACUGGCAGUAAUGGUUGGCAGUGGACUCCUGGUUCGUAUAGCAGAGAUGUGCAAACCUUUUGGCUUAAGGGUCACAAAUGGUAUUUUGGAAUUCUACAGAGGGACGUACAUGUUUUUUUAUACAAUUGGUAGAGCAUGAUUCUUUGGCAGAGCAUGGUACUUUGGCACAGCAUGGCAGAUUGGCAGAGUAUGGUACUUUGGAAGAGCAUGGUACUUUGGUAGAGCAUGGUACUCUGGUAGUGCAUGGCACAUUUGUGGAGCAUGACAGUUUGGUAGAUCAUGGCAGUUUGGUAGAUCAUGACAGUUUGGUAGAUCAUGACAGUUUGGUAGAUCAUGACAGUUUGGUAGAUCAUGGGAGUUUGGUAGAGCAUGACAGUUUGGUAGAUAAUGGGAGUUUUCUAGAUCAUGGCAGUGUGGUAGAUCAUGGCAGUUGUUAGAGCAUGACAGUUUGGUAGAUCAUGGCAGUUUGGUAGAGCAUGACAGUUUGGUAGAUCAUGACAGUUUGGUAGAUCAUGACAGUUUGGUAGAUCAUGACAGUUUGGUAGAUCAUGGGAGUUUGGUAGAGCAUGACAGUUUGGUAGAUAAUGGGAGUUUUCUAGAUCAUGGCAGUGUGGUAGAUCAUGGCAGUUGUUAGAGCAUGACAGUUUGGUAGAUCAUGGCAGUUUGGUAGAGCAUGACAGUUUGGUAGAUCAUGACAGUUUGGUAGAUGAUGGCAGUUUGGUAGAGCAUGACAGUUUGGUAGAUUAUGGCAGUUUGCUAGAUCAUGGCAUUUUUGUAGAUCAUGACAGUUUGGUAGAUCAUGGCAGUUUGCUAGAUCAUGGCAUUUGGUAGAGCAUGACAGUUUGGUAGAUCAUGACAGUUUGGUAGAUCAUAGCAGUUUGGUAGAACAUGACAGUUUGGUAGAUCAUGGCAGUUUGCUAGAUCAUGGCAUUUUUGUAGAUCAUGGCAGUUUGGUAGAACAUGACAGUUUGGUAGAUCAUGGCAGUUUGCUAGAUCAUGGCAUUUUUGUAGAUCAUGGCAGUCUGGUAGAGCAUGACAGUUUGGUAGAUCAUGACAGUUUGGUUGAUCAUGACAGUUUGGUAGAUCAUGACAGUUUGGUAGAUCAUGGCAGUUUGCUAGAUCAUGGCAGUUUGGUUGAUCAUGGCAGUUUGCUAGAUCAUGGCAGUUUGGUGGAUCAUGGCAGUUGUGUCAAAGGUUCUGAGUUUAGUCAUUGGAGGCAACCCACACAUACGUUGAAUGCAUAAUGAUCCAACGUCACUUUGGAUGAAAGAAUAAUUUAACCAGUAGAAAGUUCUCUGUGUUAUGGAUAAUGACAGCUAUUUCCCAUCACCGAAUCCUGUAUUAACACAAACCCUAAUUUUCUGUACCCUAGGAUGGAAUUUAAUCUGUAGAGAGCUGUUGACAAAGGAAUCUUUUGAAAGCUAUGGUGUUAAAAGGCGAUCCAUGCCUUUGUCUACUGAAGGAAAACUAUGUACAGAGCUGGGUUGGCUCAAUUAAAAUUGAAGUCAG
Molecule: long non-coding RNA, 1820 nt
Organism: Esox lucius (northern pike)
Lineage: Eukaryota; Metazoa; Chordata; Actinopteri; Esociformes; Esocidae
Source: Ensembl